Molecule: ribosomal RNA, 490 nt
Filed under: uncultured bacterium
Lineage: Bacteria
Description: partial 16S ribosomal RNA
Rfam family: Bacterial small subunit ribosomal RNA
Source: RNAcentral
AUUGAACGCUGGCGGCAGGCCUAACACAUGCAAGUCGAACGGUAACAGGAAGCAGCUUGCUGCUUUGCUGACGAGUGGCGGACGGGUGAGUAAUGUCUGGGAAACUGCCUGAUGGAGGGGGAUAACUACUGGAAACGGUAGCUAAUACCGCAUAACGUCGCAAGCCCAAAGAGGGGGACCUUCGGGCCUCUUGCCAUCGGAUGUGCCCAGCUGGGAUUAGCUAGUAGGUGGGGUAACGGCUCACCUAGGCGACGAUCCCUAGCUGGUCUGAGAGGGUGACCAGCCACACUGGAACUGAGACACGGUCCAGACUCCUACGGGAGGCAGCAGUGGGGAAUAUUGCACAAUGGGCGCAAGCCUGAUGCAGCCAUGCCGCGUGUAUGAAGAAGGCCUUCGGGUUGUAAAGUACUUUCAGCGGGGAGGAAGGGAGUAAAGUUAAUACCUGUGCUCAUUGACGUUACCCGCAGAAGAAGCACCGGCUAACUCCGUG